Molecule: non-coding RNA, 1555 nt
Organism: Dictyostelium discoideum
Lineage: Eukaryota; Evosea; Eumycetozoa; Dictyosteliales; Dictyosteliaceae
Source: Rfam
AAAAAAAUGAGUUUGAUUCUGGCUCCGAAUGAAUGCUAUCAGUGGGCUUUAUACAUGCAAGUUGAACGCUAUUGAAAAAUAGAGUAGCAAAAAGGUGAGUAAUGCAUAUGAAUUUUAAUAAUAAUUUUGGGAAUAAAAGAAGAAAUCCAGAAUAAAAAGAAAGAGGAACUUGAAAAACAGUAAGACUCGUUAUUAUAAAAGCGUAUGUCGAAUUAGGCAGUUGGUGGGGUAAAGGCUUACCAAACCUGAGAUUCGUAGGUGGUUCGAGAGAAUGAUCAUCCACAUUGGUAUUGAAAGAACGACCAAACUCUGAAGAGGCUGCAGUAAGGAAUAUUGGACAAUGAGCGCAAGCUUGAUCCAGCUACACUGAGUGAGGGAAGAAGUAAAGCGUAAACCUCUUUUAAUAAGGAAGAUAAUGACAAAAAUUAAAGAAGAAGUCCCGGCUAAUUUCGUGCCAGCCGCCGCGGUAAUACGGAGGGGGCAAGCAUUAUUCGUAAGGAUUGGGCGUAAAGGGUGCGUAGGCUGGUUCUCAAAGGUAUUAUAUGAAAAACACUGAAAAAAGAGGUGUGGGUAUAAAAACAAACAAAGAACCUAGAGUAAAGAUGAUGUAUUUAGAAGAACUAAUCUAGAGGUAAAAUUCAAUUUAGAUUAGUUUGACUGACAGUUGGCGAAGGCAAAAUACAAGCAAUACUGACGCUAAAGCACGAAGGUUCAGGGAGCAAAUCGGAUUAGAGACCCGAGUAGUCUGAACAGUAAACGAUGAGUGUUCAAUAUUCUAAAAAGUAUUUGAGUUAACACGUUAAACACUCCGCCUGAGUAGUACGAUCGCAAGAUUGAAACUCAAGGUAAUUGACGGAACUUUGCGCAAGCAGUGGAUUAUGUUCAUUAAUUUGAUACAACACGAAAAAUCUUACCCUCCAUUGAAUGACAUAUAUAAAACAUGAAACAAAUGUGAAGAAUAGAAGCAGACAAGGUUCUAUUAAAAUAAAUGUCUAACAGGUGUUGCAUGGCUGUCGUCAGUUCGUGCUGUGAGGUGUAACAUUAAGUUGUGAAACGAACGAAAUCCUUAAGUUCAAUUACGAUAUAUAAUCGAGAAAUGGACAGAAGAGUGUGACAUAAAUUAAAUCACAUUGGUAGUUGAGGAAGAUGUCAAGUCAGUAUGGCCCUUAUAGGAGGGGCUUGAAAUGUAAUACAAUGGUUUCUACAAAAGGAAGCGAAAGUGCAAGCUGGAGCAAAACCUAAAAAGAAAUCUUAGUUUGGAUUUAUUUCUGCAACUCGAAAUAAUGAAAGCGGAAUUGCUAGUAAUCGUAGAUCAUAAGGCUUCGGUGAAUAGUUGUCAAAGUUAGUACAUACCGCCCGUCACACCACGGAAAUCAAUCUUUUUCAGAUACAUUAUUAUGUUAAUUAUCUAAAGUUCUUAGGGUAUAACAGUCUCUUUUGAAGAGCAAUUAGAAUGGAGGAGGUUAAUUGUUAAUUAUCGAACAAUAGAGGGGUAACUGGGGUAAAGUCGUAACACGGUAGCUGUUGGGGAACCAGUAGCUGGAAGUAAAUAUAU